GCCCGGCGGGCUCAGUCGGUAGAGCACGUGACUCCUGAUCUCAGGGUCGUGAGUUUGAGCCCCACGUUGGGUG
This 73-nucleotide transfer RNA is filed under the name Ailuropoda melanoleuca (giant panda). It matches the Rfam family "tRNA". From Rfam's summary of the family: Transfer RNA (tRNA) molecules are approximately 80 nucleotides in length. Their secondary structure includes four short double-helical elements and three loops (D, anti-codon, and T loops). Lineage: Eukaryota; Metazoa; Chordata; Mammalia; Carnivora; Ursidae. The record is from Rfam by way of RNAcentral.